UAUCAUCCUUGGACACUGUAACCUAUAAGGAAAAAAUAACUAUGCAUCAAGAUAAAUAGCUCCGUAUCAAUAAGAUUUGCAACCAAAACCUGUCUCAUUUCACAUUUUCAAUGCUUGCAGUACACUAUCAGGUGUAAACAACAUCAUAGACACAUGGCUAAGCCGCCACAAUCUUAAAAAUUAAACUUUGAUCUUACCUUUUUGCAACUGCCAA
Molecule: unclassified non-coding RNA, 214 nt
Filed under: Hevea brasiliensis (rubber tree)
Lineage: Eukaryota; Viridiplantae; Streptophyta; Magnoliopsida; Malpighiales; Euphorbiaceae
Source: RNAcentral